CCGCAUACGUCCUACGGGAGAAAGCAGGGGAUCUUCGGACCUUGCGCUAAUAGAUGAGCCUAAGUCGGAUUAGCUAGUUGGUGGGGUAAAGGCCUACCAAGGCGACGAUCUGUAGCGGGUCUGAGAGGAUGAUCCGCCACACUGGGACUGAGACACGGCCCAGACUCCUACGGGAGGCAGCAGUGGGGAAUAUUGGACAAUGGGCGGAAGCCUGAUCCAGCCAUGCCGCGUGUGUGAAGAAGGCCUUAUGGUUGUAAAGCACUUUAAGCGAGGAGGAGGCUACUCUAGUUAAUACCUAGGGAUAGUGGACGUUACUCGCAGAAUAAGCACCGGCUAACUCUGUGC
Molecule: ribosomal RNA, 345 nt
Filed under: uncultured Acinetobacter sp.
Lineage: Bacteria; Pseudomonadati; Pseudomonadota; Gammaproteobacteria; Moraxellales; Moraxellaceae
Description: bacterial SSU rRNA
Rfam family: Bacterial small subunit ribosomal RNA
Source: RNAcentral